This 91-nucleotide non-coding RNA is filed under the name Sporolactobacillus laevolacticus. Its description in RNAcentral is "Glycine sequence". It matches the Rfam family "Glycine riboswitch aptamer". Rfam says of the family: This family represents the bacterial glycine riboswitch. Glycine riboswitches usually consist of two metabolite-binding aptamers domains with similar structures in tandem. The aptamers cooperatively bind glycine to regulate the expression of downstream genes. The record is from RNAcentral. RNAcentral also lists the same sequence under 1 other name. Lineage: Bacteria; Bacillati; Bacillota; Bacilli; Caryophanales; Sporolactobacillaceae.
AUGACGCUAUGGGGAGAGACCAGAUGAAUGAGGUCGCCGAAGGAGCAAACGAACAGUGAAUCUCUCAGGCAAACAGGACUCAUAGUGGACG